Molecule: ribosomal RNA, 254 nt
Filed under: uncultured bacterium
Lineage: Bacteria
Description: partial 16S ribosomal RNA
Rfam family: Bacterial small subunit ribosomal RNA
Source: RNAcentral
GACAGAGGGUGCAAACGUUGUUCGGAAUUACUGGGCGUAAAGCGAGUGUAGGCGGUCCGAUAAGUCGGGUGUGAAAGCCCUGGGCUCAACCCAGGAAGUGCACUCGAAACUGACGGGCUAGAGUAUCGGAGAGGUUGGUGGAAUUCUCGGUGUAGAGGUGAAAUUCGUAGAUAUCGAGAGGAACACCGGUGGCGAAGGCGGCCAACUGGACGAACACUGACGCUGAGUGAGCGAAAGCCAGGGGAGCAAACGGG